AUACGGAGGAUCCGAGCGUUAUCCGGAUUUAUUGGGUUUAAAGGGUGCGCAGGCGGGAGAUUAAGUCGGCGGUGAAAUUUUGCAGCUCAACUGUAAAAAUGCCUUCGAAACUGGUUUCCUUGAGUGUAGAUGAAGUAGGCGGAAUUUGUGGUGUAGCGGUGAAAUGCAUAGAUAUCACGAGGAACUCCGAUUGCGCAGUCAGCUUACUAAACUACUACUGACGCUCAGGCACGAAGGCGUGGGGAUCAAACAGGAGUAGAUACCCUGGUAGUCCACGCAGUAAACGAUGAUUACUAGCUGUUUGCGAUACAAUGUAAGCGGCUGAGCGAAAGCGUUAAGUAAUCCACCUGGGGAGUACGUUCGCAAGAAUGAAACUCAAAGGAAUUGACGGGG
RNAcentral lists this ribosomal RNA (393 nucleotides) under uncultured bacterium. RNAcentral describes it as "partial 16S ribosomal RNA". It matches the Rfam family "Bacterial small subunit ribosomal RNA", at positions 523 to 918 of the family's 1533-position model. The record is from RNAcentral.